UAAAUAGUUGGAGAAGAGGAGAUUUUUGCUCUGCUCUGGGGUGUCUUGAGAGUGGGAGAGUUUGAGUAGCUUUGAGGAGGUAGGGAGGCUGCUUGUCCCUUUUCUGUAGUGAGUGUCAUGACCAAGCCUACCUAGGAUGCCCAAGGGAUUGAGGGAGCAGUGUGGAGGAAGAUCACCCUCUAUGUCCCAGCCUGCAGCUUUCUGCCUUGUCUAGCAGUUGACUUUAGAACUGGUGCAGACUAAAGGAACCAGACUGUUGAAUUAAAACAAAGCUUAGCAAAGGCCCAUAGCAAAUAUUGACACAAUGUUAUUUCUAUCUGGGGCUUUGAACCUGCAAGUGAAGCAAUUUAAUGAUGUGCAGGAAAAUGGUGGGAGUAACUAUAACUUUCUUAAGGUAGCCAAAUAUCUCCUCACCUCAUUAGUGAUGUGCAUGAAUGGAUGAAUAAGAUUGCCACUGUCCCAACUACUAUCUAGCGAAACCACAACUAAGGGAAUCGGCUUAG
This 503-nucleotide non-coding RNA is filed under the name Ornithorhynchus anatinus (platypus). RNAcentral describes it as "Eukaryotic large subunit ribosomal RNA". It matches the Rfam family "Eukaryotic large subunit ribosomal RNA", at positions 1978 to 2388 of the family's 3401-position model. The record is from Rfam by way of RNAcentral. Lineage: Eukaryota; Metazoa; Chordata; Mammalia; Monotremata; Ornithorhynchidae.